CCUACGGGAGGCAGCAGCGGGGAAUAUUGCACAAUGGGGGAAACCCUGAUGCAGCGACGCCGCGUGAGUGAAGAAGUAUUUCGGUAUGUAAAGCUCUAUCAGCCGGGAAGAAAUAGCGACCUUUGGGUCGCCAGACGGUACCUGAUUAAGAAGCCCCGGCUAACUACGUGCCACCAGCCGCGGUAAUACGUAGGGGGCACGAGUUAGCCGGAUUUACUGGGGGGAAAGGGAGCGUAGACGGCAGCGUAAGUCUGAAGUGAAAUGCCGGGGCGUAACCCCGGCAACGCUGUGGAAACUGUGCAGCUAGAGUGCAGGAGAGGUAAGUGGAAUUCCUAGUGUAGCGGUGAAAUGCGUAGAUAUUAGGAGGAACACCAGUGGCGAAGGCGGCUUACUGGACUGUAACUGACGUUGAGGCUCGAAAGCGUGGGGAGCAAACAGGAUUAGAUACCCUUGUAGUC
This 458-nucleotide ribosomal RNA is filed under the name uncultured bacterium. RNAcentral's name for it is "partial 16S ribosomal RNA". It matches the Rfam family "Bacterial small subunit ribosomal RNA", at positions 338 to 795 of the family's 1533-position model. The record is from RNAcentral.